Molecule: ribosomal RNA, 450 nt
Filed under: uncultured bacterium
Lineage: Bacteria
Description: partial 16S ribosomal RNA
Rfam family: Bacterial small subunit ribosomal RNA
Source: RNAcentral
GUCGAGAAUAAUUCACAAUGGGGGCAACCCUGAUGGUGCAACGCCGCGUGGAGGAUGAAGGUCUUCGGAUUGUAAACUCCUGUCAUCCGGGAGCAAGACCUGGCCGUGAAUAGCGGACAGGGUUGAUAGUACCGGAAGAGGAAGGGACGGCUAACUUCGUGCCAGCAGCCGCGGUAAUACGAAGGUCCCGAGCGUUGUUCGGAAUCACUGGGCGUAAAGGGAGCGUAGGCGGCGCGGUAAGUCAGAUGUGAAAUCCUAGGGCUCAACCCUGGAACUGCAUCCGAUACUGCUGUGCUUGAGCAAUGGAGAGGUAGCCGGAAUUCUCGGUGUAGCAGUGAAAUGCGUAGAUAUCGAGAGGAACACUCGUGGCGAAAGCGGGCUACUGGACAGGUAUUGACGCUGAGGUGCGAAAGCGUGGGGAGCAAACAGGAUUAGAUACCCUAGUAGUCC